Molecule: ribosomal RNA, 427 nt
Filed under: uncultured Luteibacter sp.
Lineage: Bacteria; Pseudomonadati; Pseudomonadota; Gammaproteobacteria; Lysobacterales; Rhodanobacteraceae
Description: bacterial SSU rRNA
Rfam family: Bacterial small subunit ribosomal RNA
Source: RNAcentral
UGGGGAAUAUUGGACAAUGGGCGCAAGCCUGAUCCAGCAAUGCCUCGUGUGUGAAGAAGGCCUUCGGGUUGUAAAGCACUUUUAUCAGGAGCGAAAUCUGCAGGGCUAAUACCCAUGCAGUCUGACGGUACCUGAGGAAUAAGCACCGGCUAACUCCGUGCCAGCAGCCGCGGUAAUACGGAGGGUGCAAUCGUUAAUCGGAAUUACUGGGCGUAAAGCGUGCGUAGGCGGUUCGUUAAGUCUGCUGUGAAAGCCCCGGGCUCAAUCUGGGAAUGGCAGUGGAUACUGGCGAGCUAGAGUGUGAUAGAGGAUGGUGGAAUUCCCGGUGUAGCGGUGAAAUGCGUAGAGAUCGGGAGGAACAUCAGUGGCGAAGGCGGCCAUCUGGAUCAACACUGACGCUGAGGCACGAAAGCGUGGGGAGCAAACA